UUUUUUUUUUCUUUUUAGGGUCGCACCCAUGGUAUAUAAACGUUCCCAGGUUAGGUGUCAAAUGGGAGCUGCAGGUGACAGCCUAUACCACUGCCAUAGCAACAUCAGAUCUAAGCCACAUCAGCAACCUACACUGCAGCUUUCAACAAUGCCAGAUCCUAUAACCCACUAAGCAAGGCCUUUUCCAUUGAGCGCCCUUGUCUUUGUAAUUACCUCCUCCUCCAACUCUGUAAGAGUCUGUUGAAAGAUAGAAUUCCAGGAAAAUUGAUUUUCAUUGUGAGAAAGAAUAUAGUUCAUAUACGAGGACUUUCAUUGCUGUAGAAUUAUAUAGUUUCAUGCUGUAAUUUUUUCUGUAGACUUUCAUACUGAAUGCAUGCAAGGGAUGCUAUCAGAGUAAUAAACAAACAAAUCUUUAAAAAUAAUUCUAAAUAAUUGAAUGAAAUCUCCUAAACAAAAACAUCUUGAAGGCAACUUUUAAUCAUUUCUAAUAAUUUUGUGACAGAGAUGGUCACAAAAUUAUAAAAAUAAAUCUUAUGGUUCACAUUUUCACUGCACACUAUGAGUCCCAAAAGGUUAAAAUCCUUAGCAGCAUCAUUUAGACCUUCAAAUUAUAUUUAUUAAGCAUCUCCUUAUAAAACCUAUGCAAUGCUAAGAUUUCGGUGUAGUAAGGAUAACAGGUAGAGCUUAUGUCUUAGAUAGUGGUUUAGUAGUGUACAAUAACAGAAAAAGGGAAUGUCAGAUAAACAGGGUGAGAUCAAACAAGGAUUUACUGCUAUAUUCAGUACUUCUCAGUAAAUAGAAGCAAUAUCUAUGUAGAAGUGGGAUAUAAGACAGAGGACCUAGUGACAAGAAAAAAGGCAUUAGAAGUUGUCCAAUCACAAAUAACUUUACACAUCUGGUUUAAACCUAGCCCUGCAUGUAAGUAAAAUAUAAACAAACAAGUACAAACAAGAGUGGGCUGUGUACUACCGAAACACAAUUUAGCAAUUAUACUUUUUAAAGGCUUUUUAUUGAGCAUGGUGGCUAUAAAGAGCAUAGAAAUAUCAUUAUGCAUGUUUAAAAAACAGAGGCUAUAAGUUAGGUGCCUCUGGCAUUCACAGUAAUGCAAAGACAUUAAAUACCAUUUAUUUUUCUUAAUUUACAAUGUGAUGAGCUAUUUUUUGUCUCUAAUAUAGAAAUGGGAAAUUAGCCACACUCAUUUUAGAGGAGUAUACUAUUUCUGGUUUCUCACGCUCAUGAGAAAGUCUUUCUUCAUAGCUCUACUUCCAUAUGUGUUGUAGCUGUUCUAUAGCAGAAGGAGGGAGAAAGAAAAUCUGAAUUUUCCUUGGACUUAUCUCUUUUUCUGUGUCAGAGGUGAAGAGAUAUAAAUAUUUUCUAAGGAAAUGAACAAAAGG
RNAcentral lists this long non-coding RNA (1394 nucleotides) under Sus scrofa (pig). RNAcentral describes it as "lncRNA (ENSSSCG00050005676.1, ENSSSCG00060053150.1)". Lineage: Eukaryota; Metazoa; Chordata; Mammalia; Artiodactyla; Suidae. The record is from RNAcentral.